This 326-nucleotide ribosomal RNA is filed under the name uncultured Desulfobulbus sp. RNAcentral's name for it is "bacterial SSU rRNA". It matches the Rfam family "Bacterial small subunit ribosomal RNA", at positions 1057 to 1382 of the family's 1533-position model. The record is from RNAcentral. Lineage: Bacteria; Pseudomonadati; Thermodesulfobacteriota; Desulfobulbia; Desulfobulbales; Desulfobulbaceae.
AGCUCGUGUCGUGAGAUGUUGGGUUAACGUCCCGUAACGAGCGCAACCCUUGCCUUUAGUUGCCAGCAGUUCGGCUGGGCACUCUAAAGGGACUGCCGGUGUUAAACCGGAGGAAGGUGGGGAUGACGUCAAGUCCUCAUGGCCUUUAUGACCAGGGCUACACACGUACUACAAUGGCCGAUACAAAGGGCAGCGACACUGCGAGGUGAAGCCAAUCCCGUAAAAUCGGUCUCAGUCCGGAUUGGAGUCUGCAACUCGACUCCAUGAAGUUGGAAUCGCUAGUAAUCGUGGAUCAGCAUGCCACGGUGAAUACGUUCCCGGGCCUU